RNAcentral lists this microRNA precursor (102 nucleotides) under Human alphaherpesvirus 1 (Herpes simplex virus type 1). Lineage: Duplodnaviria; Heunggongvirae; Peploviricota; Herviviricetes; Herpesvirales; Orthoherpesviridae. The record is from RNAcentral.
CGGCGCAGAGAGCCUCGUUAAGAGCCAGGAGGCUGGGAUCGAAGGCCACAUACGCGCGCUCGAACGCCCCCGCCUUCCAGCUGCUGCCGGGGGACUCUUCGC